RNAcentral lists this ribosomal RNA (253 nucleotides) under uncultured microorganism. RNAcentral's name for it is "partial 16S ribosomal RNA". It matches the Rfam family "Bacterial small subunit ribosomal RNA", at positions 524 to 776 of the family's 1533-position model. The record is from RNAcentral.
AACGGAGGUGGCUAGCGUUACUCGGAUUUACUGGGUGUAAAGGGUGCGUAGGCGGCCCGUUAAGACAGGUGUGAAAUCCCUGGGCUCAACCUAGGAAUUGCGCUUGUGACUGGCGGGCUCGAGUACGGUAGAGGGGGGUGGAAUUCCUGGUGUAGCAGUGAAAUGCGUAGAGAUCAGGAGGAACACCGAUGGCGAAGGCAGCCCCCUGGGCCUGUACUGACGCUCAUGCACGAAAGCGUGGGGAGCAAACAGG